UGGGGAAUAUUGGACAAUGGGCGAAAGCCUGAUCCAGCAAUGCCGCGUGUGUGAAGAAGGUCCUCGGAUUGUAAAGCACUUUCGACGGGGACGAUGAUGACGGUACCCGUAGAAGAAGCCCCGGCUAACUUCGUGCCAG
This 139-nucleotide ribosomal RNA is filed under the name uncultured bacterium. Its description in RNAcentral is "partial 16S rRNA". It matches the Rfam family "Bacterial small subunit ribosomal RNA", at positions 355 to 511 of the family's 1533-position model. The record is from RNAcentral.